This 1130-nucleotide long non-coding RNA is filed under the name Pectinophora gossypiella (pink bollworm). RNAcentral's name for it is "uncharacterized LOC126371161". The record is from RNAcentral. Lineage: Eukaryota; Metazoa; Arthropoda; Insecta; Lepidoptera; Gelechiidae.
GACCAUAAGACCAUGUUUAGUUUUUUUUUGUUAUUUUGUCCAUAGGACAGGCAAAGGAAACAUAACCCAUACAGCCAAAUACUAUAUUAGGUCUAACACACCAAGGCUCCGAUAUGUAUGAAGGAAAUGCACAAUGCUAAAAACUGCGUAGGAGAUUUUAAUACAAUAGUACUACCAAGCCUGAUGUUGGCCGCUAUUUCAAUGAAUGCAGCAGUGUGACAGCUAGCAAUCAAAAGUAACAAGAUAUCGAGGAAAUGCAGAUGGCAAUAAACUGUGUAGAAGUUCAUGAUUGCAAUAGAAUAAAAUCGACCAAGCCUGAAGUCAGCAGCCCCUUCAAUGAAUGCAGCAGUGUGACAGCCAGCAAUCAAAAGUUACAAGAUAUCGAGGAAAUGCAGAAGGCAAAAAACUGCGUAGGAGAUCAUUAAUACAAAAGUAUUAUAUAAACCAAGCCUGAUGUUGGCCGCUCAUUCAAAGAAUGCAGCAGUGUGACAGCCAGCAAUCAAAAGUAACAAGAUAUCGAGGAAAUGCAGAAGGCAAAAAACUGCGUAGGAGAUCAUUAAUACAAUAGUAUUAUAUAAACCAAGCCUGAUGUUGGCCGCUCAUUCAAAGAAUGCAGCAGUGUGACAGCCAGCAAUCAAAAGUAACAAGAUGUCGAGGAAAUGCAGAGUGCAAUAAACUGUGUAGGAGAUUAUGAUUGUAAUAGAAUAAAAUCGACCAAGCCUGAAGUCCUUCAAUGCACGCAGCAGUGUGACAGCCAGCAAUCAAAAGUUACAAGAUAUCGAGGAAAUGCAGAAGGCAAAAAACUUCGUAGGAGAUUAUUAAUACAAUAGUAUUAUAUCAACCAAGCCUGAUGUCGGUAGCUUCUUCAAUGAAUGCAGCAGUGUGACAGCCAGCAAUCAAUAGUGACAAGAAUCUAGGAAAUACAGAAGGCAAAGAAGCAGAUGUCAUCAAAAAAGAUCUUUGUUCCUGCAAUGUUUCCGCAGUCGAUACAGAUACAGAUCCAACAGAGCGAAGUGGAAGGAAAAGACUCGGAAAAAAGACCCCACCACCAUAUGGGAACAAUGCAAGGGAGAGAGAGAGAAUAUAAUGUUAUAUUUUUAUUUUUUGAUAACAUAAAAUAAACCAACAAU